Molecule: ribosomal RNA, 579 nt
Filed under: uncultured bacterium
Lineage: Bacteria
Description: bacterial SSU rRNA
Rfam family: Bacterial small subunit ribosomal RNA
Source: RNAcentral
CCUACGGGAGGCAGCAGUAAGGAAUAUUGGUCAAUGGGGGCAACCCUGAACCAGCCAUGCCGCGUGCAGGAAGACGGCCCUACGGGUUGUAAACUGCUUUUAUACGGGAAUAAACCCCAGGUCGUGACCUGGGUUGAAUGUACUGUAAGAAUAAGGAUCGGCUAACUCCGUGCCAGCAGCCGCGGUAAUACGGAGGAUCCAAGCGUUAUCCGGAUUUAUUGGGUUUAAAGGGUGCGUAGGCGGCCUAUUAAGUCAGGGGUGAAAGACGGUGGCUCAACCAUCGCAGUGCCUUUGAUACUGAUAGGCUUGAUUACACUUGAGGUAGGCGGAAUGUGACAAGUAGCGGUGAAAUGCAUAGAUAUGUCACAGAACACCAAUUGCGAAGGCAGCUUACUAAGGUGUUAAUGACGCUGAGGCACGAAAGCGUGGGGAUCAAACAGGAUUAGAUACCCUGGUAGUCCACGCCCUAAACGAUGAAUACUCGAUGUUAGCGAUAUACAGUUAGCGUCAAAGCGAAAGCGUUAAGUAUUCCACCUGGGGAGUACGCCCGCAAGGGUGAAACUCAAAGGAAUUGACGGA